CAAUCAGGUUGCGCAGGGAAGAGAGAGAGGAAGGGAGGCUCAGCAUGCAGCCUACAAGAUGUAUCCUGACACUGCUUCAGCCAUGGACCCUUCAGCUUCUGCAUGUUUGUUCUCAACUGAAGAUAGUGCUGCUCCCUUUGCUCCCCCCUUCCACUUCUCUGUCUCUAGAAAUCAAGUGAAGAAGCAGCUGGAGAGACUGAACUGGAAUAAGGCUGCAGGUCCAGAUGGUAUCUACCCCUGAGUCCUGUGCAGAGCAGUUCUGUGGGACUCUACAGCACCUCUUCAACCUUAAUCUGACCAAGAAGGUUCCAGAGUUGUGGAAGACCUCCUGCAUUGUUCCAGUACUGAAGAAGUACUGAAGAAAACUCAGCAAUCAGUUUUGUGCUUGGAUGCACUCACCUGUCCUUAAGUCCUGUCCGAAGAAUCAGACCAGUGGAACCCUCCGCUCAAAUUUCCCGAAGAAACAGACCAGUGUAAUCCUCCACUAAGAUUUUGCUCUGGCUCUCCCCCUCAUACUCCCUUGGCAUUACUAAGUCGGGCCUGAGGUCCCCUUCCCGGAUUCCACUGACCCAUCUGAACUCUGGUCAAUCCGUCUGUCGCCCCAGUCAGCUGAGGCUCGCUCCGGAUCUCUCGCCUGCUCCAUCUGCUGCCCUCCAGCCACUAGCCACCUACCCAACCAAGAGGUAGACUUUGGAGUUCCCUCGACACACCUCCCCCAGUUAGGUCUGCCCAGCUUAAUGUCUCGCUGCUCCGACGUUCAGGCCUCGCCCGAGCCACCUGUAGCUCCGUCCCUGUGGUCCGCACUUUCCUAAAUAAACAUCUUUAAAACUGUGCUUGGUCUCCACUCAUAUCUGCAUGUGGGCUAAACAUCUAAAAACCAUGACAAUCAGUCCUCAAUGACAAAAAUAAUGAAUCCACAUCAGCCAUAUCCAACAGCUAAUCAUCAGAUAAUUGCCAUCAGCCCUGGAGUCCCAUAUAACAUAGCAGAACUACAUCCUCCAGAAAAACUGACUCACCAUCGCUUUCUGUUUUGACCAACUCUCAGAUGCUUUGGCAACUGCCUGUAACACUACCACUUUUCUCUUGUUCUCGUCUGUGGUCUCCUCUGGCAACCAUUGUAUAUAUGCCAGCUUCUUGCAAAUCAAAACAUUUACUGCAUGUGCACUGUAUUUUUUUUUAUAUCUGUGUCAGUUGAUCACAUGCAUUAAUUGGAGUGUUUGUGUGACUGCUCUGAUAC
Molecule: long non-coding RNA, 1237 nt
Organism: Fundulus heteroclitus (mummichog)
Lineage: Eukaryota; Metazoa; Chordata; Actinopteri; Cyprinodontiformes; Fundulidae
Exons: 3
Source: RefSeq, a predicted model, not a curated record